Molecule: unclassified non-coding RNA, 437 nt
Filed under: Octopus sinensis (East Asian common octopus)
Lineage: Eukaryota; Metazoa; Mollusca; Cephalopoda; Octopoda; Octopodidae
Description: ly6/PLAUR domain-containing protein 1-like, transcript variant X2
Source: RNAcentral
CACUUAGAGUUUUGUUUAUAAUUUCAGCGACCUCAGUUACAAUAAAGAUAUGAUGUGUGGAUGUCACCUGCCAGCCUUGGUAAAUUAUACUAAAUCAAAAUUCAGCAGAACUGUGCAUGUCCUAGGCGAGUGUCAGACAGAUCCAGGCAAUAACCAAAGCAAAAUUAUACCUAUAAUGAAAUACACGCAAUGUCAAAAUUACUCGUUAUUUCAACGCAAUUUGCAGUGUCAAACAUGUUCAGGUUUUACGGGCAAGGAAUCAGAAGUGACAAACUGUAUAGGCGAUGAGCCUGUAUGUGAAAAUAAGAUAACGAUGAAUGGUGUUACACUGGAGUUUGAAAAGUCCUGCAGCACAUACAGAAAAUGUCUUGCAGCUCAGAGAAACAAUACCUUUACAUGCAAUAAAUGGACCAGUGGCGCUUCUUGUAGGGAGAGAG